GACGUAGGGGGCAAGCGUUGUCCGGAUUUACUGGGCGUAAAGGGCGCGUAGGCGGUCCGUUAAGUGUGAAGUGAAAUCUCCAGAGCUCAACUCGGAAACUGCUUCGCAUACUGGCGGACUUGAGGAACGCAGAGGCAACUAGAAUUCCUGGUGUACCGGUGACAUGGGUUGAUAUCAGGAGGAAUACCGAUGGCGAAGGCAGGUUGCUGGGCGUUAUCUGACGCUGAGGCGCGAAAGCGUGGGGAGCAAACAGA
Molecule: ribosomal RNA, 254 nt
Filed under: uncultured bacterium
Lineage: Bacteria
Description: partial 16S ribosomal RNA
Rfam family: Bacterial small subunit ribosomal RNA
Source: RNAcentral